Molecule: ribosomal RNA, 495 nt
Filed under: Enterobacter sp.
Lineage: Bacteria; Pseudomonadati; Pseudomonadota; Gammaproteobacteria; Enterobacterales; Enterobacteriaceae
Description: bacterial SSU rRNA
Rfam family: Bacterial small subunit ribosomal RNA
Source: RNAcentral
GGGGAUAGGGCGGCGGCUACACAUGCAAGUCGAGCGGUAGCACAGAGAGCUUGCUCUCGGGUGACGAGCGGCGGACGGGUGAGUAAUGUCUGGGAAACUGCCUGAUGGAGGGGGAUAACUACUGGAAACGGUAGCUAAUACCGCAUAACGUCGCAAGACCAAAGAGGGGGACCUUCGGGCCUCUUGCCAUCAGAUGUGCCCAGAUGGGAUUAGCUAGUAGGUGGGGUAAUGGCUCACCUAGGCGACGAUCCCUAGCUGGUCUGAGAGGAUGACCAGCCACACUGGAACUGAGACACGGUCCAGACUCCUACGGGAGGCAGCAGUGGGGAAUAUUGCACAAUGGGCGCAAGCCUGAUGCAGCCAUGCCGCGUGUAUGAAGAAGGCCUUCGGGUUGUAAAGUACUUUCAGCGAGGAGGAAGGCAUUGUGGUUAAUAACCUCAGUGAUUGACGUUACUCGCAGAAGAAGCACCGGCUAACUCUGUGCCAGCAGCCGCA